UACGUAGGGCGCAAGCGUUAUCCGGAAUUAUUGGGCGUAAAGAGCUUGUAGGCGGUUUGUCGCGUCUGCCGUGAAAAUCCGGGGCUCAACCCCGGACUUGCGGUGGGUACGGGCAGACUAGAGUGUGGUAGGGGAGACUGGAAUUCCUGGUGUAGCGGUGAAAUGCGCAGAUAUCAGGAGGAACACCGAUGGCGAAGGCAGGUCUCUGGGCCACUACUGACGCUGAGAAGCGAAAGCGUGGGGAGCGAACAGG
RNAcentral lists this ribosomal RNA (253 nucleotides) under uncultured bacterium. RNAcentral describes it as "partial 16S ribosomal RNA". It matches the Rfam family "Bacterial small subunit ribosomal RNA", at positions 524 to 776 of the family's 1533-position model. The record is from RNAcentral.